This 545-nucleotide ribosomal RNA is filed under the name uncultured bacterium. RNAcentral's name for it is "bacterial SSU rRNA". It matches the Rfam family "Bacterial small subunit ribosomal RNA", at positions 367 to 929 of the family's 1533-position model. The record is from RNAcentral.
GACAAUGGACCAAGAGUCUGAUCCAGCAAUUCUGUGUGCACGAUGAAGUUUUUCGGAAUGUAAAGUGCUUUCAGUUGGGAAGAAAAAAAUGACGGUACCAACAGAAGAAGUGACGGCUAAAUACGUGCCAGCAGCCGCGGUAAUACGUAUGUCACGAGCGUUAUCCGGAUUUAUUGGGCGUAAAGCGCGUCUAGGUGGUUAUGUAAGUCUGAUGUGAAAAUGCAGGGCUCAACUCUGUAUUGCGUUGGAAACUGUAUAACUAGAGUACUGGAGAGGUAAGCGGAACUACAAGUGUAGAGGUGAAAUUCGUAGAUAUUUGUAGGAAUGCCGAUGGGGAAGCCAGCUUACUGGACAGAUACUGACGCUGAAGCGCGAAAGCGUGGGUAGCAAACAGGAUUAGAUACCCUGGUAGUCCACGCCGUAAACGAUGAUUACUAGGUGUUGGGGGUCGAACCUCAGCGCCCAAGCAAACGCGAUAAGUAAUCCGCCUGGGGAGUACGUACGCAAGUAUGAAACUCAAAGGAAUUGACGGGGGCCCGCACAAG